RNAcentral lists this unclassified non-coding RNA (351 nucleotides) under soil metagenome. Its description in RNAcentral is "partial contains 5.8S ribosomal RNA, internal transcribed spacer 2, and large subunit ribosomal RNA". The stretch from base 3 to 119 matches the Rfam family "5.8S ribosomal RNA", at positions 38 to 154 of the family's 154-position model. The record is from RNAcentral.
GAGAAGAACGCAGCGAAAUGCGAUAAGUAAUGUGAAUUGCAGAAUUCAGUGAAUCAUCGAAUCUUUGAACGCACAUUGCGCCCGCCAGUAUUCUGGCGGGCAUGCCUGUUCGAGCGUCAUUACAACCCUCAGGCCCCCGGGCCUGGCGUUGGGGAUCGGCGGAGCCCCCCGUGGGCACACGCCGUCCCCCAAAUACAGUGGCGGUCCCGCCGCAGCUUCCAUCGCGUAGUAGCUAACACCUCGCGACUGGAGAGCGGCGCGGCCACGCCGUAAAACACCCAACUCUUCUGAAGUUGACCUCGAAUCAGGUAGGAAUACCCGCUGAACUUAAGCAUAUCAAUAAGCGGAGGA